GUGGUGGAAGAAUUGGUAGCCCUGCACAUGUCCAUCCGAGAAUUACGUCACAGGUGGGCACAAGCCGCAGUCAUUCGCCGGCGCCUCCCUGCAGUCUCAGGUAGCAGUGGCGAUGCGUAGUGCUGUUGCUUUGUACUGAGUGAGCGUGAAAGAACGCUCGUGACGAUAUAUGGUGAGGGACGUGUGGGCCUUUACGUUGUGGAAACAGAAGGAGAGUUGGUUUUCUCCAAACCCAACGAUGUAUCCUGAGGGACUCCACUCCGGCACACUUUCAUCUCGCCUCUCAUUCAUGGAACUUUAAUCAGUGAAGAACCUCGGGUGGAGACAAACUUGUCCUCUAACCUUAAUUAAGAAGCACUCCCACUGACCUGGCCCUCGUUGUGUGUGUGUGCCCUGUCUGAGGUGAUGUAAAUGUGCAGCUUUGUUAUAGUUGUUUUUACAAUAACCUUCAACUAACGCUCUUCCUCUUCCUCCUCCUCCUCGCUCUUCUCUCUUCUUCCUCCUUUCCAUCAUCAGUAAUUUCCAUCCAUCCACCCUUCACUCAGUUAUAUCCUUUCCCCUGUUCACUUGCUCUCACUUCCUCCUACUCUUCCCUCUCCCUCCCUCUCUUUGACUCCUUUCUCACAACUCGGAAGCUGAUGAAAAAGAAAGGGUAGGUGGGCUGAGGGCUCUGAAGUGGGGCUUUGGUUUACUUCUCCCUUAAACAAGCAAACAAUCCUGCGCUCUUCUUCCUUCCUUCCUUCCUUCCUUGUCUGUCCUGUUUGCUUAUCUGUCUAUCUGUCCUGCCUCUUCUGCUUACCUGUGUCUACCUCUCCUUACUCUUCUGUUUGUAUGUUUGUAUGUGUAUCUUUUAGUUUUGUUUGUUUAUGUCUUAGUCUGUUUAUUUUACUGUCUCCUAUUGAUAAAGUUAAUGUUUUUAUACCUGUCUGUCUGUCUGUCUGUCUGUCUGUCUAUUUUCCUUUUGGAGUAAUUUUUGAUGUGUGUGCUUUUUGUCUGUUUGUCUGUCUGUCAAGUAACUAGCUAAUCAACUUUCUCUCUCUCUCUCUCUCUCUCUCUCUCUCUCUCUCUCUCUCUCUCUCUCUCUCUCUCUCUCU
Long non-coding RNA from Scylla paramamosain (green mud crab), 1094 nucleotides. RefSeq lists it as uncharacterized. Lineage: Eukaryota; Metazoa; Arthropoda; Malacostraca; Decapoda; Portunidae. The transcript is spliced from 2 exons. The record is from RefSeq and is a predicted model, not a curated record.